Molecule: long non-coding RNA, 2801 nt
Organism: Nicotiana tabacum (common tobacco)
Lineage: Eukaryota; Viridiplantae; Streptophyta; Magnoliopsida; Solanales; Solanaceae
Source: RefSeq, a predicted model, not a curated record
UACAUGGAUCAAAUAUAUUGCAAGAUCUUGAUUCUUGAGAUACGGAAUCCAACUUAUUGCAUUUUAUAUAUAUCUUCAAUUGUGAAUCGAUCCGAACACAUACAACACUAUUGUCAAACACGUGUACUAUUUUAUUCUACAUGAAACACGUGUACUGUAUCUUUAGAAAUUAGGAAUAAUUCGUGAUUCGUGAUAGUUAAAUCGAAAUUCAUUCUUUCCCUUCUUGAUUUACUAAUUUUGCUCUGCUUUUGUUCUUCUGAGUUCCUAUCAUGUUUCAUUUUAUAUAUAUCUUCAAAAUUCAUGUUCUUCUGAGUGUGUGUUGGGUUUUUCAAGGUAUUACUUUAUUUCUACUGGUGUAACCACAAUCUGCUGGGUAUAUCUUUAAUUUCUUACUAGAAUUUUGCAUGAUGUCAAUAAUUGUAAAUCAUAAUUCUUCGUUGUCUUUGAUCUGUGUUUCGGUCCUGCUGUUGCGACACAACUGGGUGUGUAUAUAGAUUUUGAUUCAUCUUCAUUCUCUAUUUUUUCUUACAGAUUACUUUGUUUAGACAUCUUCAUUCUACUUCUGAAAUUCUCCUAUGGAUUUGCAAGUGUACCAUUUUGUAUUUUUUGAUAGAUGAAUUAUUAUUUUGGCUCUUUGUCAUUUCUUUAUUUUUCUUGGUGAGUUCUGUACAUGAAUUUGACUACCUGUUCAAACGCCUCUUAUGAAAAUUCUCUAUGCAUAGGUAAGCGCUCUACUAUAGUAUUGCACAUAUUGAUGUAGCUAAGGUGUUUGAUAAUAUGCCUAAAGCAACUUAAAAGUUCGUUUAUUUCCUGCCCUUUUUCGCGCAGGAGGUGUACAACAUACACAUCAUUCAGCAACCCAAGAGCUAAGCUGGAUGUCACACUGAUAAUGACUUUUGGAUUAUUCUUGUGCAAGGAAUUCACCUCGCGAAUCCUUAGAGUCAAGGUUUCCAGGAUGGGAUUCUGAGUGUUGCUGAUACUGCUAUGAAUGAGAUCCAGCUCCAACUUCUAAUUAGUAUUCCUUAAAGUAUGCCAGUUGAUCCUUUUCCUAUGUUGUUUCAUAACUUUUGUAUAUUGUCUGAUCUUGCAUGGUUAGGACAAAGUUCAGAUGCAAUGUGUUCAACUGCUCUAUAUUAUGUGCUUUUAGUUUUACUACCGUAUCCUACAAAAAGAACACAUACAUAUAUACACGAAUGUAUAAAAAAUAUAUAAAUUGUUCCUUCUUUUUCCUUUUGCUGCUAACUUUCCUGAUUUGCUUUGGUAAAUGAUACACAGGGUAACACUGUUUCGCUUCAAUCAUGGAUAGUACUUUAGGACUACAAAUAAUUGUGGAGUUUAUGCAUACACUAAUACAAUGUUGUCAAAGGCGCACUUAAGCCCUAAAACGAGGCUCAAAUCAAGUUGAGCGCUUUGGCUUGCUUUGUGGGUGCUAUCAAAGCUCUAAGUCAUACUUUUCCUGUAGUUCUGAAAAGGCGAUCUUAAACAAUUGAUAUUUUACUUUAUCGUGAAUUGUUUAUCAAAUUUUUUGUCCAUAUAUUUGUUAUUGAUGCUUAUAAUAAUUAGUCUUGGAAUGAGUGAUGUGUGGCGUGCGUUGAUUUUGAGCUAGGUUCUCUUUUUAUUAUUUUGAAAAAUCUAGAUUAGUAUUCGCUGAGCAAGCAAAAUCAAACACUGCACAAUUAAAUACAGUAUUGAACUAUAAAUGUGAAUGAAAAUGCAGUUUCAUCUAGAUUACUAUUCUUACUUAUUAACUGCCACUAGAUUCGUUUGAAAUCUAGAUGAGUUUAACAUUGCGUAGCCCCGAUAAGCUAUUUUAUCAUUUGUUCUUCACAUUUGGUCUUUGUAAGUGAGAGUUGGAACUUAAAGUAACAUUUGCUUGUAGAGUUACUGUAGUUGGUUCAUGUUGUUGUUAAGGUAUCUUCAUAUUAAGGUUUCCUAUUUUCCUAUACCUUGUCAUUGUACAUUCAUCAAGAGUUUACCUCCCUAAGUGCCGAUGAAGUUGUUUCCUCUGGCAUCAAGUGGAAGUGGACACUGGAUGUAUGUAAUCAUGUUAGAUGAAAUUUUGAAAUAUAUAGAGCUAAUAUAUAUUUUGUCUAUAGUAUUAGAUGCACAUUGAUAAGCCGGUAAGAGUGAUCUUAUUUUCGGCGAACAUUAUUGAAUGUUUGAAAGUUCACAACUGAUCUCAAAGUUUUGCUAUCUUACUUGUGUAGAAGAGGAUCUUUAGAAGAGGUGAGGAGAGAAGAAGAUAUUAUUUUAACAUUAGAAACUAUGAAGAGUACCUAUUAUCUUGGAUUUCUUAUAUAGGACGUGAAAAAAAGAAGCUAAUUUCUCACAAAUAACUACUCAACCUAAUCUGAAUAUUACGUGCAUAUAUUCUUUUUAUAUACUGAGGUGCUUUCUUCCUUUCAGUUUUCCUGUCAGCUUUUAUGAGUAAGGCUAGCUUAAAAGUCGACUUCUGUGGGAGCUUCUUGUCAGGCCAACCAAAGGAUUAGUUGAAGUUUAUAUAAUAGUGGCUAACUGGAUAGCACUUGGCUGAAGUUGUUCUGGAGGCUCAAUUGUUUGGACAAGUUAGGAAUUACAAAUUGAAAUAAGAUUUUUCAGAAAGAAAAAAAAAUCAUUUUAUUGUAAAUCUUCUGUCUUACAAGUGUAGUAGUUAAAGCUGUAAAAAGAAAAUCUUAGGAGAUGGUAAAGCAUAAAUAACUGUGCAAAGAUUUGCAGUUACUCUCUUCUUUACUUGAUAUCAGGAAAGAUGCAUAUGCCAAUAAUGUAUACUUAUGAUUUAUUCAAUGUUCUGUAUUGUGAAA